Grus americana (Whooping crane) is the source of this 1541-nucleotide long non-coding RNA. RefSeq lists it as uncharacterized. The record is from RefSeq and is a predicted model, not a curated record. The transcript is spliced from 3 exons. NCBI's taxonomy places the organism in Eukaryota, Metazoa, Chordata, Aves, Gruiformes, Gruidae.
UUUCUGUAUUCUGUAUUCCCUGAAAAAUCAGCUCGGCUGUCUGCGCAAUUAGCAAGCCUGGGGUGAAAAAAACAACCCUCAAACAGAUGGGCCGUCCUGUGGGGUGACGCUUUUGGCAAUGGUCAAAGCCUGGGAUUUGUUACCAAUUGCUAUUCGUAUCUGGUUUUGCCUAUACUGCCAUUCUCCGCAAGCUGCCCUGUGCCUGGAAAGACCGUUCGCAUAGGUGAACCACAACUAGAGGCCAACAGAGAUGCAAGAGCAGGUUGCAGCAACAGCACAGCCCUCCUGUAGUUUUAUUUCCACCGUGUCUUGAGAUGAGGGACAUAAGGCAUGUGCUGCACAGCCACCGUGCUCUGAUCCGUAGCAUCCAUACUGGAUCAAGGGGUGGAACGUGGCAAUAACCCCGACAGUCUGAGCAGAAGCUCCCCAGCUAGUCUUGCAUGGCUGAAACACUGAACUUUUCACUGAUCCUCGUACAAAGCCACGUUCUUAAGACUUCAGAGUAUUAGGACCCACUAGCGAGUAAGUGCUUGCUCUAUACUAACCUAAAUUGUCAUUGUUUUACACACAACAGGUGAACAUACAUAUGAAAGCUUAAAUUAGUUGUAGACUAAUGAGCUACAGUGUAAGUGAAUGAAUAAUUGUGCAUACACACACAACCUGCACUUGGCAGGAGUCAGCAAGACCACGGUCUUGCUACCACUUGACUACCACGGCUUCACUCUGGACCAGAGGUGAGUCAAACAGAGAGGCUGAGCGUGAUGAACCACAGCCAGGAGGACAAGGCAAACAAGAAGCAAGUGCGACGAGCCUUGGCGCAGCCCAGAGAUCAACCCUGCACAGGAGAAGGUCACUGGAAACCGCAGGAAAGGCACGAUAUCAUCAUGGACUGAUGCAACGGACAGCACCUGGCGAGAAAGACCCUCGGGCAGACAUCCAAGCCCACAGAGCUGAUGCCAAGAUGCCAAAGAUUUAUUUCCUUUUGUGUAUUUGUCCCUUUGCGCGUGGACACCCUCUGGGAAAACUUCCGACGGCAGUCUGGGAUUAACGCGCUGUUAUCAGGAGUGAACUUUGCAAUUAAAGAAGAACUCGCGACAAAGAACAGGAGAAAGCAAGCCUGUUUGACCCUGAAUCAACUCCAAGUACCAUGGAAACAUCUGAAUAACAAGAACGCUCAUCAAAAUUUAAACUUCUUACAGCAGCGCCAAAGGCAAUGAAAAUUUUAUUGAAUUCCAGAGCCCUACUUUUCAACACAAAGAACACACGGUGCAGAGGCAGCAGAGCCCUCUGCAGCCUUUAGGCCCUCGCUUCCAAUUUUCAGUGCCGAGCUUCUGCGAGUUGAAACCCUCUAUUCCAGUUACUAUCACGGCACCUUCUCGUAAGCGAAGCUGCAAGAGAAGCUUGGGAGAUGAUUCUGUUUAGAUUCCCCCCCCCCGCCCCCCGCUCCUAAAAUGCCACUGUCUAAAAUAAAACACUCACACGGAUCCUCCAUCUUAUUUAAUGAAAGGAUCUGCAGCGCCGCUUCAAUCACCGUGGAAAAU